This 253-nucleotide ribosomal RNA is filed under the name uncultured bacterium. Its description in RNAcentral is "partial 16S ribosomal RNA". It matches the Rfam family "Bacterial small subunit ribosomal RNA", at positions 524 to 776 of the family's 1533-position model. The record is from RNAcentral.
UACGGAGGGUGCAAGCGUUAUCCGGAUUCACUGGGUUUAAAGGGUGCGUAGGCGGUCAGAUAAGUCAGUGGUGAAAGCCCGCGGCUCAACCGUGGAAUUGCCAUUGAAACUGCCUGACUUGAAUACAGGUGAAGUGGAUGGAAUACAUCAUGUAGCGGUGAAAUGCUUAGAUAUGAUGUAGAACACCAAUUGCGAAGGCAGUUCACUAAGCUGUCAUUGACGCUGAGGCACGAAAGCGUGGGGAGCGAACAGG